UGCCCUACGGGGGGCAGCAGUGGGGAAUAUUGCACAAUGGGGGAAACCCUGAUGCAGCGACGCCGCGUGAGUGAAGAAGUAUUUCGGUAUGUAAAGCUCUAUCAGCAGGGAAGAAAAUGACGGUACCUGACUAAGAAGCCCCGGCUAACUACGUGCCAGCAGCCGCGGUAAUACGUAGGGGGCAAGCGUUAUCCGGAUUUACUGGGUGUAAAGGGAGCGUAGACGGCAUGGCAAGUCAGAUGUGAAAGCCCGGGGCUCAACCCCGGGACUGCAUUUGAAACUGUUGGUCUUGAGUAUCGGAGAGG
RNAcentral lists this ribosomal RNA (305 nucleotides) under uncultured bacterium. Its description in RNAcentral is "bacterial SSU rRNA". It matches the Rfam family "Bacterial small subunit ribosomal RNA", at positions 335 to 657 of the family's 1533-position model. The record is from RNAcentral.